Molecule: unclassified non-coding RNA, 116 nt
Filed under: uncultured Glomeromycotina
Lineage: Eukaryota; Fungi; Glomeromycota
Description: sequence contains ITS1
Source: RNAcentral
CCAAUUUUUAGCGAACCUAAAUCCUUCGGGUUUGUGGUCUCGCGAAAAAAAACUGUAUUUAAAACCCCACUCUUUAUAUGUAAAUUGAAUCUAUUAUAUAUAAUAAUAAAUAAAGA